AGAAAAUAAGACUACUCCUAAAAAUACAGGAUAUUUGAAUCACAGGCAACAUAUUCAUCUCCAAAACAACUCUUUGCCUAUAUUACCUACCCACCGUAGGCUAAAAGUUACCAGUCAUUAUAAACAAUCGUGUCACAUGAAAGAAACCAAUAAGCAUAUUUUGCAAAAGAAAUUAGUAACUUAACACUAAAAAUUUUAUUUGGCAUGUAAAGCAUGGCCAUAAUCUUCCUCUUUAUCAACUAAGCUACAAUUGAAUCAAUUAUAUCAUGCCUAAUUAUAAAUGUCAAGGCAAUUUAUAAUUUUGUCCCAGGAGUAUGAUAUAAAUUUUUGGGAUAAAGAGAAUCCAUAUAGCCG
This 354-nucleotide unclassified non-coding RNA is filed under the name Hevea brasiliensis (rubber tree). Lineage: Eukaryota; Viridiplantae; Streptophyta; Magnoliopsida; Malpighiales; Euphorbiaceae. The record is from RNAcentral.